Papio anubis (olive baboon) is the source of this 98-nucleotide non-coding RNA. Lineage: Eukaryota; Metazoa; Chordata; Mammalia; Primates; Cercopithecidae. The record is from Rfam.
GUCACUUGGGGAUCUUGUUAAAAUGCAGAGCCUGAUUCAGUAGGUCUGGGGUGGGACCUAAGAUUCUGCAUUUCUAACAAGUACCUAAGUAUUGGCAA